GGGCGAUUAGCUCAGUUGGGAGAGCAUCGCCCUUACAAGGCGAGGGUCACUGGUUCAAGCCCAGUAUCGCCCACCA
This 76-nucleotide transfer RNA is filed under the name Gammaproteobacteria bacterium. RNAcentral describes it as "tRNA-Val". It matches the Rfam family "tRNA". From Rfam's summary of the family: Transfer RNA (tRNA) molecules are approximately 80 nucleotides in length. Their secondary structure includes four short double-helical elements and three loops (D, anti-codon, and T loops). Further hydrogen bonds mediate the characteristic L-shaped molecular structure. tRNAs have two regions of fundamental functional importance: the anti-codon, which is responsible for specific mRNA codon recognition, and the 3' end, to which the tRNAs corresponding amino acid is attached (by aminoacyl-tRNA synthetases). tRNAs cope with the degeneracy of the genetic code in two manners: having more than one tRNA (with a specific anti-codon) for a particular amino acid; and 'wobble' base-pairing, i.e. permitting non-standard base-pairing at the 3rd anti-codon position. Lineage: Bacteria; Pseudomonadati; Pseudomonadota; Gammaproteobacteria. The record is from RNAcentral. RNAcentral also lists the same sequence under 1 other name.